Molecule: small RNA, 125 nt
Filed under: Marmota monax (woodchuck)
Lineage: Eukaryota; Metazoa; Chordata; Mammalia; Rodentia; Sciuridae
Source: RNAcentral
GCUGGGUGUAGUGGUGCAUGCCUGUAAUCCCAGCAGCUCAGGAGGCUGAGGCAGGAGGAUCACGGGUUCAAAGCCAGCUUCAGCAAAAGUGAGGCACUAAGCAACUCAGUGAGACCCUGUCUCUA